This 427-nucleotide ribosomal RNA is filed under the name uncultured bacterium. RNAcentral's name for it is "bacterial SSU rRNA". It matches the Rfam family "Bacterial small subunit ribosomal RNA", at positions 355 to 775 of the family's 1533-position model. The record is from RNAcentral.
UGGGGAAUUGUUCACAAUGGGCGCAAGCCUGAUGACGCAACGCCGCGUGGAGGAUGAAGGUCUUCGGAUUGUAAACUCCUGUUGCCCGGGACGAAAAGCUUCGACCUAACACGUCGAAGUCUGACGGUACCGGGUGAGGAAGCCCCGGCUAACUCUGUGCCAGCAGCCGCGGUAAUACAGAGGGGGCAAGCGUUGUUCGGAAUUACUGGGCGUAAAGGGCGCGUAGGUGGCCUUCUAAGUUGAACGUGAAAUCCCUGGGCUCAACCCAGGAACUGCGUCCAAGACUGGGAGGCUUGAAUCCGGGAGAGGGAUGCGGAAUUCCAGGUGUAGCGGUGAAAUGCGUAGAUAUCUGGAGGAACACCGGUGGCGAAGGCGGCAUCCUGGACCGGUAUUGACACUGAGGCGCGAAAGCCAGGGGAGCAAACGG